GGAUUGUGGCUCAGCGGUAGAGCACUCGCCUACCACGUGUGAGGCCCUGGGUUCAAUCCUCAGCACCA
RNAcentral lists this transfer RNA (68 nucleotides) under Marmota monax (woodchuck). RNAcentral describes it as "tRNA.Gly". The stretch from base 5 to 65 matches the Rfam family "tRNA", at positions 6 to 65 of the family's 71-position model. From Rfam's summary of the family: Transfer RNA (tRNA) molecules are approximately 80 nucleotides in length. Their secondary structure includes four short double-helical elements and three loops (D, anti-codon, and T loops). Lineage: Eukaryota; Metazoa; Chordata; Mammalia; Rodentia; Sciuridae. The record is from RNAcentral.